AUCCUACGGGGGGCAGCAGUAGGGAAUCUUCCACAAUGGACGAAAGUCUGAUGGAGCAACGCCGCGUGAGUGAAGAAGGGUUUCGGCUCGUAAAGCUCUGUUGGUAGUGAAGAAAGAUAGAGGUAGUAACUGGCCUUUAUUUGACGGUAAUUACUUAGAAAGUCACGGCUAACUACGUGCCAGCAGCCGCGGUAAUACGUAGGUGGCAAGCGUUGUCCGGAUUUAUUGGGCGUAAAGCGAGUGCAGGCGGUUCCAAAAAUCUUAUGUUAAAACCUUCGGGCCAACCCG
RNAcentral lists this ribosomal RNA (288 nucleotides) under uncultured bacterium. Its description in RNAcentral is "partial 16S ribosomal RNA". It matches the Rfam family "Bacterial small subunit ribosomal RNA", at positions 335 to 616 of the family's 1533-position model. The record is from RNAcentral.